Molecule: long non-coding RNA, 1036 nt
Filed under: Homo sapiens (human)
Lineage: Eukaryota; Metazoa; Chordata; Mammalia; Primates; Hominidae
Description: long non-coding RNA NONHSAT203312.1
Source: RNAcentral
CAGUUUUGUCGCUCCCGUUGGACACAGUGGAAUCUGGUCAUUUGGUGUCAAUGCUGUGUCAGAAGGCUUAUCAGGUUGGUCGCAAUCUGUGAUGGGGAACCAUCCAAUGCAUCAACAAUUAUCAGACCCAAGCACAUUCUCCCAACAUCAGCCAAUGGAGAGAGAUGAUUCUGGAAUGGUAGCCCCCUCUAACAUUUUUCAUCAGCCUAUGGCAAGUGGUUUUGUGGAUUUUUCUAAAGGUCUGCCAAUUUCCAUGUAUGGAGGCACCAUAAUACCCUCUCAUCCUCAGCUUGCUGAUGUUCCAGGAGGCCCUCUGUUUAAUGGACUUCACAAUCCAGAUCCUGCUUGGAACCCUAUGAUAAAAGUUAUCCAAAAUUCAACUGAAUGCACUGAUGCCCAGCAGGCCAGUCUGCUUCCUUCAGUCCCUGCUCUCAAAGGGGAAAUCCCAUCACCUCAGCUAACCAGACCGAAGAAGAGAAUUGGACGGCCGAUGGUGGCCUCUCCUAACCAGAGGCACCAGGAUCAUCUACGACCGAAAGUUCCUGCUGGAGUGCAAGAACUCACCCAUUGCCCGGACACCCCCCUGCUGCCUCCCUCAGAUUCCCGGGGUCACAACUCCUCCAACAGCCCCUCUCUCCAAGCUGGAGGAGCUGAAGGAGCAGGAGACAGAGGAAGAGAUACCCGAUGACGCACAAUUUGAAAUGGACAUCUAAUCCAGUGCAGAUGACCUGGCAUGUGGAGUUACAGAGGGAUCCCUCAUGCCACUGCUGCCACCACCUCUUCCUGGGGCAUCCAAAGGCCAGCUGGCCUCAUCUAAUCUGGAAGGGAGUGACUUGUUAGUUCCAGGCCUCCUUUAGUUCUGAGGCAGCUAGACCAGGGAUAGGAGUGGGCAACUUGCCAAGCCCUUAACUCUACUUCCUCUUCAGUCUGUGGUACUCCUCCUAACCCUAAACCCUCUAUGCUCAGGGGCUGGAACUGGGGAAUGGAGUAAGUCACCUUCUGACUGCUUAGUAAACAUUCAAAGAAAUGCCUUGGC